GGUGAUAUAGCCUGGUGGUAGAGCACUUUCCUGGCAUGUACAAGACCCUGGGUUCAAUCCCCAGUUCACUG
RNAcentral lists this transfer RNA (71 nucleotides) under Marmota monax (woodchuck). Its description in RNAcentral is "tRNA.Ala". The record is from RNAcentral. Lineage: Eukaryota; Metazoa; Chordata; Mammalia; Rodentia; Sciuridae.